GUGGGGAAUAUUGGGCAAUGGGCGAAAGCCUGACCCAGCAACGCCGCGUGAGGGAAGAAGGCCUUCGGGUUGUAAACCUCUGUCCUUGGUGACGAAAAAAAUGACGGUAGCCAAGGAGGAAGCCCCGGCUAACUACGUGCCAGCAGCCGCGGUAAUACGUAGGGGGCGAGCGUUGUCCGGAAUUACUGGGCGUAAAGGGUGCGUAGGUGGCCUUUUAAGUUGGAUGUGAAAUACCCGGGCUUAACUUGGGGGGUGCAUCUAAUACUGGAGGGCUAGAGUGCAGGAGAGGGAAGCGGAAUUCCUAGUGUAGCGGUGAAAUGCGUAGAUAUUAGGAGGAACACCAGUGGCGAAGGCGGCUUUCUGGACUGUAACUGACACUGAGGCACGAAAGCGUGGGGAGCAAACAGGAUUAGAAACCCGAGUAGUCC
This 428-nucleotide ribosomal RNA is filed under the name uncultured bacterium. Its description in RNAcentral is "partial 16S ribosomal RNA". It matches the Rfam family "Bacterial small subunit ribosomal RNA", at positions 354 to 796 of the family's 1533-position model. The record is from RNAcentral.